This 237-nucleotide long non-coding RNA is filed under the name Elaeis guineensis (African oil palm). Its description in RNAcentral is "long non-coding RNA (EGUI_LNC047700)". Lineage: Eukaryota; Viridiplantae; Streptophyta; Magnoliopsida; Arecales; Arecaceae. The record is from RNAcentral.
UAUGUCGAAGAAGAAGUAUUUUUCAAUAUGGAAGAUCGAACAACUUGCUUCUUUUUCUCCAAUUUUCGAUACUUGUUCGCACGCCUACUUAGUUGGCCGGAUCCUGACCAAAUAUGACAUCUUGUGGGUCAGGUAGCUAAUUUAAAAUAUUGUUCAUAGACCAGAACCUUGACUGGGUAUGUCAUUCAUGCUUGCGAUUGAACUUAAGACUUCUCCUCCAUCUAUAAUCAUCCAGCA